RNAcentral lists this ribosomal RNA (442 nucleotides) under uncultured bacterium. RNAcentral describes it as "partial 16S ribosomal RNA". It matches the Rfam family "Bacterial small subunit ribosomal RNA", at positions 338 to 795 of the family's 1533-position model. The record is from RNAcentral.
CCUACGGGUGACAGCAGUGGGGAAUAUUGGGCAAUGGGCGAAAGCCUGACCCAGCAACGCCGCGUGAAGGAAGAAGGCUUUCGGGUUGUAAACUUCUUUUGACAGGGAAGAGCAGAAGACGGUACCUGUCGAAUAAGCCACGGCUAACUACGUGCCAGCAGCCGCGGUAAUACGUAGGUGGCAAGCGUUGUCCGGAUUUACUGGGUGUAAAGGGCGUGUAGCCGGGCUGACAAGUCAGAUGUGAAAUCCGGGGGCUCAACCUGUGGCCUGCAUUUGAAACUGUGGUUCUUGAGUACUGGAGAGGCAGACGGAAUUCCUAGUGUAGCGGUGAAAUGCGUAGAUAUUAGGAGGAACACCAGUGGCGAAGGCGGUCUGCUGGACAGCAACUGACGCUGAGGCGCGAAAGCGUGGGGAGCAAACAGGAGUAGAUACCCGUGUAGUC